RNAcentral lists this unclassified non-coding RNA (237 nucleotides) under Hevea brasiliensis (rubber tree). The record is from RNAcentral. Lineage: Eukaryota; Viridiplantae; Streptophyta; Magnoliopsida; Malpighiales; Euphorbiaceae.
GCGGCGUUGAAACCAGCGACGAACACCUUCCACGAGAGUUCCGCUCCCCAUAUAAAUCUCAAACUCUUUUAUUCACAGCCACUCUAUUCCAGCAUUUGCCCACCUCCCGAUUGUCCCUUUUUUUGUGGGUUUCCUAUUUUAGCUGUGGAUUUGCCAUCUCUCACUCUCUCUCUCAAUCUGAUUCUUUGUGUUUGCCCGUCUCUUUCUUCUCACUUUUCUUUGUUAGCAUUAUUUUAC